This 73-nucleotide transfer RNA is filed under the name Ailuropoda melanoleuca (giant panda). It matches the Rfam family "tRNA". Rfam says of the family: Transfer RNA (tRNA) molecules are approximately 80 nucleotides in length. Their secondary structure includes four short double-helical elements and three loops (D, anti-codon, and T loops). Lineage: Eukaryota; Metazoa; Chordata; Mammalia; Carnivora; Ursidae. The record is from Rfam by way of RNAcentral.
ACCUGGCUGGCUCAGUUGGUAGAGCGUGCAACUCUUGAUCUCAAGGUCGUGAGUUCAAGCCCCACGUUGGGCA